Molecule: long non-coding RNA, 1505 nt
Organism: Bombus impatiens (common eastern bumble bee)
Lineage: Eukaryota; Metazoa; Arthropoda; Insecta; Hymenoptera; Apidae
Exons: 2
Source: RefSeq, a predicted model, not a curated record
AGAUGUAUUGUCCUUUGAAGUAAACAAUUUCGACUAUGUAAUGUUUCUACCACUUGUCAUCAGUCGACUAUUAUCAGGUUCGUUUAGCUAGUUAACUAAUAGGUUCUUAUUUAGUAUGUUGUUACGUUAGCGAAAUUUUAUAAUAUUUCAAAUUUUCUCUGGUUGUCUGUUACCAACGGCUUGUGUUAUGAGUUUUUCAAACAAAAUUUGAGUUUGAUUAUUGCUUCAUUUUGACUCAAUUAAUUCAGUUUUAUACAUUAAUUCUAAAUGCUUGAUUGUAAUUUGCUUGUUUGCAAAUGAUUGAUUGAGUUCGCAGAUGACUUCGAAAAAAGUGUCAUGUAUUGGCGUUGUGACAACUCAGAGAUUUUUAAUGCAAAAGGUUUGUUAACGUUUAUUUAUUUUAACAGAGAUAGAGUCAUGAAACAACUUUUGUUAUUUCUGUGAAAGAGUUGAACUACACGUUCAGACACGUUUCAAAGCUAUGUGAAGUUCGUAUGUGUUGUUAAUAUGUUCGCCUGGGGCAUAUUUAUCUAAUUUUAUCUUACAAGUAUUCUUGAAUUUCUACAACACAUUGCUGUCUACCAUGUUUAUUCUGUACUUAGUCAAUGAUAGGAUAUAAAAAAGAAUUGCGUGUUGAGUUUAUUCUACAGUCUGUCAAUGAUUUAAAUUUAUUCAAAAAUCGAUAUUUAUAAAUUGAAAUUUAAUUUCAAUUCCAACCGCCAGUAGCGCUGCAAUCGUAUUCUAUGCGAAGUCGGUAAUGUCGCAAAUAACAUGGAAAUAACAAGUUUAUGCAAUAAUAGGUUCUAAAUAUAAAGUAAAAAAGUGAUUGUUCUUAAAUCAAUUUCAAGUUGUCAAAUUCAAGUCAUAUCUCUGUUAAAAGUAACAAAGUAAAAUAACGCGAAAGGACAAUAAUAAUUAUUAUUAUUAUUAUUGCUUUUAUAUCUGCAAACUUGCGUAUACAUAGUUACAUAUUACGUUAUACAUACGCAUGGAUUUUGUAAAACACUUCGAAUUAUUAAUUACCAGUAAUCAAUAAGUCGGCAAGUUUGGUUUGUAGGUGCCAUGUCAGAUGCGUCUGUUUUUAAAAUGAAUUCAUUGAUAGAAGGAUUAGAUAUUUAAGGCGAUUCUUUCGUUUAUUUUGUCCGAUUCUCUCAGUCGGACGACACACGGCAAUGACAUUAAUGACACAGUGGGCAGGAUGUGAUUAAUUCAGAUUACUCGUCAUGUGUGACUCACAUUAUGUGCAUGCGCGCGGCUCAAGUGACGAAAAGAGAGAGAAGGUAACUACCAAUAGUACAAGUGCUGUGAAUCGCAUACACGAGCUGCCACCAGGCACUAAGGUCGCACACACGAGGUUUGACCUUAGCCCCCAAUUUGUUUUACGACGAUCAAGUUGAGGAAAUCGUUUUCGCAGCCUUCUUUAUUGCGAUAGCUACUCAAUGACUAUGUCACACAGGUGUAUUAGCAUUAAGUAUUAUGGCCGUUUCUGAUCAUAUUUUAAUAAA